GUCCACAGCCUUCAUAAGAUCACCUAUCAGGGCAAAUAAAAUUUAGCCAUGUGAACAGGUCCCAUUUUGUCAGAAAUAUAAUUUGGAUUCAACUGUCCUUUUAUAAACUGAUCUGAUCAGAACCUGAAUUCUCCUAAUUUUCUUCAAUAUUUGGCUGCAACUCUCCAACUAAGAGCAAAAACUGCUCUGUGCUUGCCGCCUUAGAAGAUGAAGCUAGACAACUUGAUAUAAAUUUCAAGAGACAAGUCUCAUACCCGAAAAAAGAAGGACAAGUCUUGUGCCACACAGAAAGUUCACCAAUCCACCUGAUACCAUAGCAGAGAAUUCAAACUGCAAGCCAAGAGAAGUUGAUGGCUUCAUGCUAUAGGCAGCGUUUCCCAAGACACUCCAUCAAAAUGAGACUCUUGCCCCUCUUAAUUUUUCCUUUCUUAUGCUUACCUUUUUCUUUGGCAAGAUA
RNAcentral lists this long non-coding RNA (457 nucleotides) under Homo sapiens (human). RNAcentral describes it as "HSALNT0293290". Lineage: Eukaryota; Metazoa; Chordata; Mammalia; Primates; Hominidae. The record is from RNAcentral.